This is a long non-coding RNA of Amphiprion ocellaris (clown anemonefish), 5194 nucleotides long. RefSeq lists it as uncharacterized. NCBI's taxonomy places the organism in Eukaryota, Metazoa, Chordata, Actinopteri, Pomacentridae. The transcript is spliced from 3 exons. The record is from RefSeq and is a predicted model, not a curated record.
GCGUUAGUACUAAAUGAGGAAACCUCAGAUUUACAGAACAAUUUUAAAACCUGAUGGUAGAACAUGUUUAUAUCAGAGGUUACAGUCUGAUGUUAACUUACAGUAACUUCACUGCUUUAUAUGUGAUGUUGUCCAGAUGUGGAGAAGAGUACAACUAGUUACAAAAAUGACUUACCUGUAGAGUUUAUCUUCACUUUUGGGGGCUAACGUUGUUAGCAGCAGCAGGUGAACAGCGGAAGCCGUAAAUGUGGGCGGGACAGAGAGUCCUGACCCAUACACGGAUAUUUAUAUCUCUGGCAGCUGCAGCUCCCAGUGAACAGGAGGAUUUUAUUAGAGGAAGUCAGGCACAGUCACAGAGAGAAACACGAGAGCUCACACUGAAACGGAGCUACAGCGUUGUGUCUUGGAGAAGAUUUAUUUUCAAAGCUACAUGUGUGACGGUAAUAAACCGUGCCAGAGCAGACCUCAUUAGCACUUCCGCUAGGUCGGCUCACCUUUCCGGUCACUCCAGGGACGCUGUUGUCGGUAAUGUAGCCAGAAUAUGGAUUCAUUUUUCGUUUGGGCUUGACAACGACGAGAACAAAACUAUUCAGAGCAGAGUGAAAGUAGCAGUUCCUCCUGAAGGUCAGAGAUUGCAGCAUCUGAGGGCCUCUUCAAAAGAAGACGUAGUUGAUGAAGGCGUUCUGGAGCAGGACCAGAAAGACCACGACCAAGCAGCCUUGAGAUCUUAGGCAGCGUCUCCCUCAGACCAAAGAACUACAGACUCUUCACAACCUGCUCAAACUCUUGGUACAGGACCUCACCACACGGGUCAAGAAGGUUUCUGUCUCAUUUCUACUCUGAAGCUCACCUUCUCCUGCUCAAACUGCUGACAAAUGUUUCUGCUGCUCUAAAGUCUGGUCUCCAGAACUUCCUAAAACUCUCAAAGUCUCUUCUGCUGCAGGUUGCUUUGUAGAACUGUUCCAGAAAACCUCACUAAACCACAUGGAGGGGCCUCAAGAUAGUCGUCCAAAUGAAACAGUACAAAAACCAAACUAGCACAACCCAAACACUAAAGUCUCCUGCAGCCUACCAGAGAACCUCUGAGAACAGAGAAUCAGGACAGGAACUCUUACCUUCUGGACAACCAAAGCUGCUUCUCAAACAAGAAUACAGAAUGUGUCUGAGCAAAAACCUCUACAGACUCACUACAGCCAAGAUAAAGACACAACUCAGCUGCACCAAAUCCACUAAUCACUGCACACAUUAGCACCAUGUGCUGUGGCUAAAGAACCUCAUUUACCAAGACAACUAUCCAGUACAAAGCCCUAAAACACACCAAAACAUUACGACCCGGCUGUCUAGGGAAACACAUUAAAGACGAUUUUACUGCUGGAAGCUGCAAGCCAACGCCUAAAGAACAAACUAAAGCAAGGGAGCCAAACCCGCUUCAGUAGUGAAGAGAAUCUGAAGAAAUGUUUGUCUCCAGCUAAACAAAGCAGGAAGACACUGAGCUGCUCAGGUGUUCCUGAUAACACCAAGCAGCCACCUGGACAGCCAAUAGGAACACAGCUUCCUGGAAGUCUAGAGGGCUGGCUUAGUGAAGGAAAUUUAGUUUAAAGUAGAAGCAGAAAGUUAACAAAGAAAGUUGAAAACCACCUUCUGAUACCUGAAAUCUCUGAGUUUUCACACAAAGAACACCUGAACAUGUCAAACUGGUUCCAUAGUAGAACCCUCAUUGUAAAAACGUCAUAGUAUGGUGUGUUGCUCAAAAAAUAUUAGGGCCCGGCUGUCUAGGGUCACUGAGGAGCAACACAAAAACAGGACAAACGCUGGUUUCCAGGGGGUUAGGAGGAUAUUUAUUUGAAAGAGGAAGUUUACAACAACACAACAUGUGAGCAGAAAAAUCACAAAGUCUGUCUUUAGUUCAGCUGAAAAUAUUAGUUUUUGUCUUUUUUAUUGACCAAAUUUUUCAGAAAGUAGAUGAAGAAUAAUUAAAGCUCUCAUGUAAAAGUCCAACUUAUUUUGGAUCCUUGUGGAGAGUUUAAUCUUAGAGUUUGUAAAGCUGUUGAGUUUUUAGUCACAUGGAUUGUUUUGACAUUUAAUAACCGAGUCCUGAAAAAAAAUUACAGUUGUGGAUUUCUGUCAUUUAGUCUCGCAUUUAGGUUUUCAUUGAAAAAAAAAAUCAUCAUGAAUUUUGGCGCAAAAAAAGGCCAUAGUAUACUAUGUCGACAAAAAUGAGAUUUUUUAACAUGUUGCAAAAACGUGCAAUAUGAUGAAAUGAUGUAAAGGAGGCCGUGAAAAACACUCCAGAAAGGUUUUCUUUGAAAAAAAUUCAUCAUGAAUUUUGGCGCAAAAACAACGCCAUAGUAUACUAUGUCGAAAAAUAAAAAGCGAAUUUUCAACAUAUUGUAAAAAUGUGCCAUAUGAUGAAAUAAUGUAAAGGAGGCCGUGAAAAACACUCCAGAAAGGUUUUCUUCGAAAAAAAAAUCAACAUGAAUUUUGGCACAAAAAAAAAAACGCCUUACUAUACUAUGUUGAAAAAAAAAUGAGAUUUUUAAACAUGUUGUAAAAACGUACCAAAUGAUGAAAUAAUGUAAAGGACGCCGCGAAAAACACUCCAGAAAGGUUUUCUUUGAAAAAAAAAAAAUCAUCAUGAAUUUUGGCGCAAAAAACGCCUUACUAUACUAUGUCGAAAAAAAAAUGAGAUUUUUUUAAAAUGUUGUAAAAACAUGCCAUAUGAUGAAAUAAUGUAAAGGAGGCUGUGAAAAACACUCCAGAAAGGUUUUCUUUGAAAAAAAAUUAUCAUGAAUUUUGGCGCAAAAAAACCCGCCAUAGUAUACUAUGUUGAAAAAUAAAAAGCAAAUUUUCAACAUAUUGUAAAAACAUGCCAUAUGAUGAAAUAAUGUAAUGGAGGCCGUGAAAAACACUCCAGAAAGGUUUUCUUUGAAAAAAAAAAAAUCAUCAUGAAUUUUGGCGCAAAAAAAGGCCUUACUAUACUAUGUCGAAAAAAAAUGCGAUUUUUCAACAUAUUGUAAAAACGUGCCAUAUGAUGAAAAGAUGUGACAUGAAAAUGCAUUUUACAAAAUCAAUAACAUUCAUUUUCUGUCUCAUUUUAAAACUGAUGAGUUUCGAUUGAACCUGAUCCUGUACUAGCGUGAGGUAAACAACUACAUUGUCUAGGAGCAAAGACAGCAAUAGCUCGGCCUCAUUUCAUCUUAAAUGAAGCUUUUGAAACAUUCAGUAUAAAAAGUUAGCAAACUGACAGGUCGGGCAUUUUGCUGAGAUUGUUGCAUUUCACUAACUAGUCCAGCAGAAUGGAAAUAUAUAUUAAAGCCACAAAUUACAAAGCCCCACGAUAGCAUAUAAAUAGAGUAUAAAACAGAGUCAAGAUGUAAUAUCAGAGGAGGCAAGAAAACACCAGUGGUCAGUGCAGAUGUCCAAGGUUGGGAUACAGCAGCUGGUGUAGUCGCUGUUUGCAGACAACAGAUAGAAUCCAGCACUUAUACACACCAGGCAGUACCACAUAGCGACACAAGAUCAUCUUAUAGACCCACUGUGAGUAUUCAGUCACACAAUAGCUGUGCAUGGACAGCUGUCUGUGCAGCUUUCAUGUCACUGCUUGAAAUCAAUGUCCUUUCUUUUCACCCUAAAGCCUCUUCAGAGGCUUAGCGGUUUGUCAAACAGCGCCCAGUAUAAAGGCUUUUGGUCUUCAGCAGAGGUAGGCAGGCUUUUCACAGCAGAUUAUGAUUGACUCGAUGAUUGCAGAGAACUUGGGGCUGACAGCUCAGAUUAGGAUCGGAUCGCUUUUCCCUUGACAGGAAAGUAAUGUGUUCCAUCAUGGUUUCCGUCCAAUGUGUAGCCAGGUUAAAAACAAAAGGGUCACAGUUACAGGUCCAUGUCUUUCAUAUGAAACUGCAUGACAAACUGGAUCACUGCAAGAACAAUUAGGUUCUUUCACUUUUUGAAGACAUCUUUCUCUCUUUAUUAGAGCUUGACACUUUCCUCAAAUUAGUCAGAUUCCUAGACCUUUGACACAUGCAGCAGUUUGUCUUGUCAGACCAGGUGAAGCUCGGUUUUAGCAAUCUGCUGGCCUGAAGAGGAACUGUGAGCUUUUGAUUACAACAUAGGAAGUUGUGUGUUCUAAAUGCUUCAUGUUCAAGCGGCAACAUCGCGGCGUAACCUGUGAAAACUCUGCUGCUAGGCAACAGCAUGAUGGAUGUUACCGUCUGCAUCUAGAGGCUAACCAGCUAGCAAAGGAGUAGAUGAAGUAGUGUAGGUUGCAAAGGAAUAGCAAAAGAAUGAGGCCGCUGGGAAUAUUAAUGUCGCGUUACAUUAACAUUAUCGUCAGACAUUAUAAAACUAGUAGGAAAAACUCCGACUAAAAUUGCAAUGAACUAAUUCACCAUCACACCAUCUGGCUCAACUUUGAGAAAAGUGGGGGGAAUUCAUAAGGACUCUUCCAGUAAACACAGCACAGCUUAAAGGUAGGAAUUAUUGCAAUGCAGUUAAUAAUUAUAUGAGUUGCUCCUGUGUUUGACAUAAAAUAUCUGCUGCAGAAAAGCUCAAAUUAACUUUGGUGUCACUCCACCAUUCAGUUCACUGAUAUGUUUACAUCAGAAUUUGAGGAAAGUGAUACUGUAACAAAGCUAUGUAUUAGACUAAAAAACUACCCCACUUAAACUGAGCUAGACAGCCUAAUAUGCAGUGAUCUAUAACAGGCAACAGAGGGCGCCACACAAAGGCAACACAAUCUGUUGGAUGUUGGGAUGCCCUAAGGACACCCAGAAAAGUGGAAUAUUGUAGCUGCUUUAUUUUAAGAUAUUAAAAUGUGAGUUUAAAGUGACAUUUUAUUUCAGUAACAGCCGAGUUAAGGGUUAUUAAGAACAUCAACUCAACAGUAUCUUGUAAGUUAAUCUGUACAUAGUAAAGUAUUUGUGAACUAUUCAUGCAGGUUAUUUUUUAAUAUGAAAGAAUAACAUGAACCAGACAACAAUUGGAAGAUCAUCUCACAUUUGGUGAUUUCAGCAAAGGCACAUUUUUAAAACCUAUUUUCUUCACUUUGAGAUUAAACUGUAACUUUACAUAAGAAUGUCUUGUAGCUGACAAGUUAAACGUUAUUGUUUUAGUUUAUUAGGACAUACAACAAAGCAUUUCCUGUGAAUUUUUUCAUGAAGGAUUUGAGAGACAUUCUUUUUACAGAUGCAUUUUUUAU